Molecule: ribosomal RNA, 253 nt
Filed under: uncultured bacterium
Lineage: Bacteria
Description: partial 16S ribosomal RNA
Rfam family: Bacterial small subunit ribosomal RNA
Source: RNAcentral
UACGUAGGGUGCGAGCGUUAAUCGGAAUUACUGGGCGUAAAGCGUGCGUAGGCGGUUCUCCAAGUCCGUUGUGAAAGCCCCGGGCUCAACCUGGGAAUGGCAGUGGAAACUAGGGGACUGGAAUCUGGCAGAGGGGGGUGGAAUGCCACGUGUAGCAGUGAAAUGCGUAGAGAUGUGGAGGAACACCGAUGGCGAAGGCAGCCCCCUGGGUCAAAACUGACGCUCAUGCACGAAAGCGUGGGGAGCAAACAGG